UACGUAGGGUGCGAGCGUUAAUCGGAAUUACUGGGCGUAAAGCGUGCGCAGGCGGUUCGCCAAGUCAGAUGUGAAAGCCCCGGGCUUAACCUGGGAACUGCGUUUGAAACUGAGGAGCUAGAGUGUGGAAGAGGGGGGUGGAAUUCCAGGUGUAGCAGUGAAAUGCGUAGAGAUCUGGAGGAACACCGAUGGCGAAGGCAGCCCCCUGGGCUA
This 213-nucleotide ribosomal RNA is filed under the name uncultured prokaryote. RNAcentral's name for it is "partial 16S ribosomal RNA". It matches the Rfam family "Bacterial small subunit ribosomal RNA", at positions 524 to 736 of the family's 1533-position model. The record is from RNAcentral.